Molecule: transfer RNA, 586 nt
Filed under: Pseudanabaena catenata NIVA-CYA 146
Lineage: Bacteria; Bacillati; Cyanobacteriota; Cyanophyceae; Pseudanabaenales; Pseudanabaenaceae
Also listed under: 1 other name
Description: partial contains 16S ribosomal RNA and 16S-23S ribosomal RNA intergenic spacer
Rfam family: tRNA (bases 316-388)
Source: RNAcentral
CUGGAUCACCUCCUUAUAGGGAGACCUAUUUACUCUUAGACUGAACCAAUACAGAAUUAAGUCAAGAGUAAGUCAUCCCAAGGUCGUUCGAGAUUUAUUGGAAAGCUUUCAAACUAAGUCAGGUUCUAAAUUUGGCUAACAUAAAGGGCCAUUAGCUCAGUUGGUUAGAGCGCACCCCUGAUAAGGGUGAGGUCACUGGUUCGUGUCCAGUAUGGCCCACUUGAGUACAAGGAAAAAGGAGAAAGGAAAAAGGAAAAAACUCAAAUAGAGUCUUCACUUUUUACUUUUUACUUCUGACUUUUUACUUGACACUCUGGGGAUAUAGCUCAGUUGGUAGAGCGCCUGCUUUGCACGCAGGAAGUCAGGAGUUCGAAUCUCCUUAUCUCCACCAAACUACUAACAAAGACCAACAAAAGCAAAAGCAAGAGUUUAGCAACUCAUCUAGUUAGGCAAAACCUAAACAACUAGAGAGACUGCUAAAUUCUAGCGAAAGCGAGAAUUUAGAAAGAACCUUGAAAACUGCAUAGUAAUAGUAAUAAGAAGCAAGUAGAUCCAAAGUGGAAACACAGAGGUCAGCACAUUCCCC